GACAGGGUGGCAAUGAGGCUCAGAUUAGGCUACAAAUACUUUAGUGAAGUCAUUGCUUCUCCUGGUGUGUGCUGUGCGCUGCACCAAGGGGACAGACUCUACGUCACUAUAUCAUAGAAAGCCCUCUCAUUGCUAAAUUUAGUCCACAAGGUCAGCAUGACACAGCCUCAUUGACCAUCUCUUAGACUCAGCCACUCUCAGGGAUAUACUCAGGGAAUAUCCUCAGUUUGCCCCAACACUGUAGAAUGUUUAGGCAAAAAGGUGUGCAAUAUGUGUAUUUAUUUAUUGAAAUAUUAAUGUACUCUUGUGUGUACUGUCCAGUGUUAGAUUUUUGAUACUUUAACUUGGCCCAGGGGGUGGGUGGCAAGGCCAAUCCUCCUCCUUUGUUGUAAUUAUUUAUUAAUUCAAUAAUAAAUGUAUCAAUCAAUCAUAGCUACGAUCGCUAAUGUCAUGACUUAUGUCUCGCUAACGAAAGUUUUAUAAAUACGGGCAGCAGAGUUCCUCAACCUAGGUUCCCCGGAACCCUAAGGUUCCACAAAAGGUCCCUAAGGGUUCCGCAAGAACAAAUGAGAUAAGCUAAUGCACUUUUGAAUUUUAAUUUAUUUUCAUAUAUGUAAUAUAACUAAACACGGAAAAUAUAUUAUUGGUUAUUUUAAUAUUAUAACAUAGACAUCAUCAUAUCUAAUUUAUUAUAAAAAAAUAUAUAAUCAUUGGUAAUAUAUUUAGUGAUGUAUGUAUGGCGCCUAGCUGUACGUCUGAUUAAUCUAUCAAGUCCAAGUGACUCAUUCAGUACAAGACGCAUACACAGUCUACACAAUCGUCUCUGUGGUUCCUGAGUGUACAGACCAUGGAUAAGGUAGUAAAUGAAUGUAUGGUGUGCCAAACCGCGUGGGAUAACAAACGUCAUCAGCCCGUGGUGCUACCUGCUUGUGGACAUAGUUUUUGCAGGCAUUGCCUCAUAAAGCUACGUGAUAUCAAGGAAACUGUUGAGUGCCCAAUAUGCAGAACACAAUUUUUUUUGUUAUUUUUUAAAUAGUUUAAAAAUAGAGAACUUGACAACCCAUAUCUCUCUAGUAUGGUUCUGCUAGCUUUGCACCUGCCAAUGGCCGCCUUGUAGAGAGGAUAGUACAUCUUUGAGUGCAAAAACAGUUGUCUUAAUGUCUUUGUUGAAACAAGUGAAAGCAACACAACAAGUCAAACAUUCCUCAAUCUAUUGAGGCUACAUAGAUGACAUAUUCAUCUGAGUUAAAAUAAUAGAAGAGCUUCAGAACCUGGAAGAAAUAUUCACCAUAUUUUCACAUAUGAUGAAUCAAAGGAGAGCUGUUUACCAUUUCUAGACGUGCUAUUUACCGCAUGCAACUCAGGAUUCUCCAUUUGUGUAUACCGCAGGGGAACUAACCUAAGACCAUGCCUCAACGGCAACAGCGAAUUCCCACAACACUACCUGCAGUCCACUAUCGCUGGGUAUUUCCGAGGUGCUCUUACCCACUGCUCAACCUAGGACUACACAGGAAAUUACAAGGGAUGAUAUGAACAAUGAAGUCAAUGACAACCAUCAUCGAAUGGCACUAUUUUACAAGAACCACAUGUUGAUGGAAUAGAAAACAGAUAAGGUCAUCAAGAGCAAAAUGAAAAAACAAAACAAAAAAACGUCACACCCAUAAACCCAGAGGAAACCAUCAAACUCAGCAUUAAAAAAAGAAAACAAAACAUAAUGAUCACUAUAGGAAGCUGACAUUAUCUACAAGUACAUAUGCACUGCUGAAGUUUGUGGACCUCAAUCUUACAUUGGGAUGAGGACAACUACACUAAAAAAAAUGCUAAAUCAUGUAAGAAUCAAUAUCGUCAAUGGAUUUUCAAGUCAGGGACCUGGAAAUCUGUGACCCCUUUGUCACUUAAAUAGAUCUAUCAGUUCCCCCUCUUAAUCUAGGUCUCUAUAAAAUGCAAAUUUAAGAAUAUUUGGCUUAUCGCCAAGACGGUCCGGAAUACAAGUAGGUUGUUGUACCAAUUGUUCUUUGUCAUAGAAACAAAGUUUAUCAGGAUGAAGGGAAAUCUUCAGAACUGACAGUAAACAAUGGGUCUCCAAGAUUGGAGAUGUUUGCAAAAGAAAAGCGAGUAGAAGUGUGCUUCAUUUCAGAAAUUAGAAGUAAACAGGUUUACUAUAGUCAAAGGAAAUAGGUGAGAAGUAUAUAGAAGAAUUUAGUUGGACAGUGACUUGGUAUUCAAUGGCAGAUGGUGGAAAAUCUGGGAGCUUCAAGAGCAUGGACAUGAGAGCAGGUCAAGUCGUAGUUCAGAGACGCAAUAUCUACCUAUGCAUUGAAACCAACAAUAGAAAAAGUAAGAGGAAUCAGAAAAGGAGUUACUAUCAGAUGUUUCAGAAAAGAAGAUGAUGUUUAGUAGAAGAGAGUUUGUGUCUUAAAAACUGAAAAUCAGAUAUAUGGAUGUAAGUAUAGCAAAUGCAAUUAAAUUAUGCAACAUCUUAACCAUUUUCUGGUCAGGCCUUCUGGGUACCUCUGCCUUUCUUUCUGCUACUGUCUUAUUCACUUUGUCAUUUUAUUCAUAUACAGAUGCUUGGUACUUUCCUUUUCACUCAGAAAAUUAUCUUUAUUUCCACCAUUCACAUUUAUCGGAUGCCCACAUCAUAUUUAAAAUAUGAAGAAACAAGAAGUAAAGAAAAUAUGGAUGUAUGAUAUUUUGCCAGUACGCUGUGUGUUGUUGUACCCAGCCAUAAAAGAGAUUAGAAAGGGCAGGAGGGUCAAAAGGAAACAGUUAAUGACCCAGGCCAGCCCAGGUCAGGUAAACAUCCUGUGAUGUUGUCGUUCUUAGAUGUUGUUGAUACUACACAUUUGAGAUUCACGUGAGCUUAUGCUUGAUUGGUGAACGGUACAUUUGAGGAGCGUGUUGUGUCGAACAAGACACGCCUCCAUAAAGUUUCUGAAAGAAAAUUGUAGAAGCAUGGGGGCAGAGAGAGAGACGAGAGAGGAAGCAGAGAGGACAACCGCGGCUCUGAGCGGGCUGCCCUCAGCUGCAUAGCUGAGGGCAGCAUGAACGUUUUGUAUUUCAUAUAAACAGUAAAUGGAACUAUAAGUUGCAAUGCAGUCUUUUGAGGUAAAUUAGAAUGGAGGAGGAAUCAUGAUAGGAGAUUUAGGUAUUAUAUUAGUAUGUGUUUAUGUGCAUGUACUUGGUUCAUAAUGACGUCGUUAUAUACUUGCAUUUCCAUUUAUG
Portunus trituberculatus (swimming crab) is the source of this 3225-nucleotide long non-coding RNA. RefSeq lists it as uncharacterized. NCBI's taxonomy places the organism in Eukaryota, Metazoa, Arthropoda, Malacostraca, Decapoda, Portunidae. The transcript has 3 exons. The record is from RefSeq and is a predicted model, not a curated record.